Molecule: ribosomal RNA, 257 nt
Filed under: uncultured bacterium
Lineage: Bacteria
Description: partial 16S ribosomal RNA
Rfam family: Bacterial small subunit ribosomal RNA
Source: RNAcentral
UACAGAGACCUCAAGCGUUAUCCGGAAUCAUUGGGCGUAAAGCGUACCGAUAGGUGGUUGUAUAAGUCAGAAGUGAAAUCUCCGAGCUCAACUCGGAAUCUGUCUUUUGAAACUAUACAGCUAGAGGGGCAAAGAGGAAGCUGGAACGAACGGUGUAGUAGUGAAAUGCGUUGAUAUCGUUCGGAACACCGAUAGCGAAGGCAGGCUUCUGGGUGCCACCUGACACUGCUAGGACGAAAGCGUGGGGAGCGAAUGGG